This 497-nucleotide ribosomal RNA is filed under the name uncultured bacterium. Its description in RNAcentral is "partial 16S ribosomal RNA". It matches the Rfam family "Bacterial small subunit ribosomal RNA", at positions 28 to 507 of the family's 1533-position model. The record is from RNAcentral.
GAUGAACGCUGGCGGCGUGCCUAAUACAUGCAAGUCGAGCGAACAGACGAGGAGCUUGCUCCUCUGACGUUAGCGGCGGACGGGUGAGAAACACGUGGAUAACCUACCUAUAAGACUGGGAUAACUUCGGGAAACCGGAGCUAAUACCGGAUAACAUGUUGAACCGCAUGGUUCAACAGUGAAAGACGGUUUUGCUGUCACUUAUAGAUGGAUCCGCGCCGCAUUAGCUAGUUGGUAAGGUAACGGCUUACCAAGGCAACGAUGCGUAGCCGACCUGAGAGGGUGAUCGGCCACACUGGAACUGAGACACGGUCCAGACUCCUACGGGAGGCAGCAGUAGGGAAUCUUCCGCAAUGGGCGAAAGCCUGACGGAGCAACGCCGCGUGAGUGAAGAAGGUCUUCGGAUCGUAAAACUCUGUUAUUAGGGAAGAACAAAUGUGUAAGUAACUAUGCACGUCUUGACGGUACCUAAUCAGAAAGCCACGGCUAACUACGUG